Molecule: ribosomal RNA, 486 nt
Filed under: uncultured bacterium
Lineage: Bacteria
Description: bacterial SSU rRNA
Rfam family: Bacterial small subunit ribosomal RNA
Source: RNAcentral
GAUGAACGCUAGCGGCAGGCUUAAUACAUGCAAGUCGAGGGGUAACAUGGGUAGCAAUACCUGAUGACGACCGGCAAACGGGUGCGGAACACGUACGCAACCUUCCCAUAACUGGUGAAUAGCCUUCCGAAAGGGAGAUUAAUACACCGUAACAUAAUGAAGAGGCAUCUCUUUAUUAUUAUAGGCUUCGGCCGGUUUUGGAUGGGCGUGCGCCUGAUUAGGUAGUUGGCGGGGUAACGGCCCACCAAGCCUGCGAUCAGUAACUGGUGUGAGAGCACGACCAGUCACACGGGCACUGAGACACGGGCCCGACUCCUACGGGAGGCAGCAGUAAGGAAUAUUGGUCAAUGGACGAAAGUCUGAACCAGCCAUGCCGCGUGAAGGAUGAAGGCCCUCUGGGUUGUAAACUUCUUUUAUCUGGGACGAAAAAAGCUCAUUCUUGAGCACUUGACGGUACCAGAGGAAUAAGCACCGGCUAACUCCGUG